This 225-nucleotide unclassified non-coding RNA is filed under the name plant metagenome. Its description in RNAcentral is "partial contains small subunit ribosomal RNA, internal transcribed spacer 1, and 5.8S ribosomal RNA". The record is from RNAcentral.
UCUCCGUUGGUGAACCAGCGGAGGGAUCAUUACAGGACUCGCAAGACUCCUACAACCCUGUGAACUUAACUAUAAGCACGUUGCUUCGGCGGGUGUCUCGGAGGGGGUUCUCCCUCCCCGGGACGCUAAACCCGCCGUCAGCCUACUAUACUCUGUCUCUUUGCGUUGGCAUCUCGAGUACAAUCAAACAAGUUAAAACUUUCAACAACGGAUCUCUUGGUUCUG